This 774-nucleotide ribosomal RNA is filed under the name uncultured Neocallimastigales. Its description in RNAcentral is "partial large subunit ribosomal RNA". It matches the Rfam family "Eukaryotic large subunit ribosomal RNA", at positions 23 to 638 of the family's 3401-position model. The record is from RNAcentral. Lineage: Eukaryota; Fungi; Neocallimastigomycota; Neocallimastigomycetes; Neocallimastigales.
GAGAGAGACAUGCGCGCAUAUCAAUAAGCGGAGGAAAAGAAACUAACAAGGAUUCCCUUAGUAACGGCGAGUGAAGCGGGAAGAGCUCAAAUUUGAAAUCUUCAAGGUUUUACCUUGACGAAUUGUAGUUUAAAGAAGUGUUUUCUGUUGAAGUUUUGGUAAAAGUUCUUUGGAAUAGGACAUCAUAGAGGGUGAGAAUCCCGUAUUUGACCAUUAUUUUCAGCUGUGUGAUACACUUUCAAAGAGUCGGAUUGUUUGGGAAUGCAGUCCAAAAUGGGUGGUAAAUUUCAUCUAAAGCUAAAUAUUGGCGAGAGACCGAUAGCGAACAAGUACCGUGAGGGAAAGAUGAAAAGAACUUUGAAAAGAGAGUUAAACAGUACGUGAAAUUGUCAAAAGGGAAGCGUUUGACACCAGUGUUGUUUUCUCGAAAAUCAAUUAAAAAAGGCUGGAUUUUGUGUUGUAUUGACUUUAUCAGCUUUCUGCACUCUUUUCCUGUCUUUUUUAAUGCACUUUUCAGUUAACAAGUCAACAUCAAUUUCUUUUGUUGUAAAAGGGUAAUAGGAAGGUGGCUUGCUCUUCGGCGCAAGUGUUUAUAGCCUUUGACCUCUGCAAUCGGAGAGAUUGAGGUCUGCAGCGUAGACUCUUCGGGGUUAGAUGACAUUUGUGCUAAGUUAUAGCCUUUCAUAGACAACUUGUUGACUAUGAUCAGUCAUGUAGCUUACUCGCUGAUGCUAUUUUACCUACGCUUAGGAUGUUGACAGCAGUAUAGACUGU